Molecule: ribosomal RNA, 869 nt
Filed under: Agaricus sp. ZRL2012630
Lineage: Eukaryota; Fungi; Basidiomycota; Agaricomycetes; Agaricales; Agaricaceae
Description: eukaryotic LSU rRNA
Rfam family: Eukaryotic large subunit ribosomal RNA
Source: RNAcentral
ACUAACAGGAUUCCCCUAGUAACUGCGAGUGAAGCGGGAAAAGCUCAAAUUUAAAAUCUGGCGGUCUUUGGCCGUCCGAGUUGUAAUCUAGAGAAGUAAUGCCCGUGCUGGACCGUGUAUAAGUCUCCUGGGAUGGGGCGUCAUAGAGGGUGAGAAUCCCGUCUUUGACACGGACUACCAGUGCAUUGUGGUAUGCUCUCAAAGAGUCGAGUUGUUUGGGAAUGCAGCUCAAAAUGGGUGGUAAAUUCCAUCUAAAGCUAAAUAUUGGCGAGAGACCGAUAGCGAACAAGUACCGUGAGGGAAAGAUGAAAAGAACUUUGGAAAGAGAGUUAAACAGUACGUGAAAUUGCUGAAAGGGAAACGCUUGAAGUCAGUCGCGUUGGCCGGGGAUCAGCCUUGCUUUUGCAUGGUGUACUUUCUGGUUGACGGGUCAGCAUCAAUUUUGACCGCUGGAAAAAGACCUGGGGAAUGUGGCAGCUUCGGCUGUGUUAUAGCCCCUAGUCGCAUACAGUGGUUGGGAUUGAGGAACUCAGCACGCCGCAAGGCCGGGUUUCGACCACGUUCGUGCUUAGGAUGCUGGCAUAAUGGCUUUAAGCGACCCGUCUUGAAACACGGACCAAGGAGUCUAACAUGCCUGCGAGUAUUUGGGUGGAAAACCCAAGUGCGUAAUGAAAGUGAAAGUUGAGAUCCCUGUCGUGGGGAGCAUCGACGCCCGGACCAGAACUUUUGGGACGGAUCCGCGGUGGAGCAUGUAUGUUGGGACCCGAAAGAUGGUGAACUAUGCCUGAAUAGGGUGAAGCCAGAGGAAACUCUGGUGGAGGCUCGUAGCGAUUCUGACGUGCAAAUCGAUCGUCAAAUUUGGGUAUAGG